This 572-nucleotide long non-coding RNA is filed under the name Bos taurus (domestic cattle). RNAcentral describes it as "long non-coding RNA NONBTAT013819". The record is from RNAcentral. Lineage: Eukaryota; Metazoa; Chordata; Mammalia; Artiodactyla; Bovidae.
UACGAUUUCAGGACAAAAUGAUCAUUCCUUGGGGAUCAGGGAAAUGGAGAGUGCAGAGUGUAUUACAAGAGAGGUAAUGGUGUCUGUGUUGAUUGGAGAUUAUUCUGAUCUGGAGGUAGAGUUUUUAAGAAAGUUGUUAAGUUGAGGCUAAAAUACAUACUUAAAAAAAAUUGUCUUUUAAAGUCAGUUUUUUUAUGAUUGCACAUUGGCUUGAGCAGAUAUGUGAUAAGGUUCUUUCAACUUGGUGAAACCAUGUUAAAUAAUUUCUGCAGUGGGUUGAAAUGGUAAUAAAAAGUCAAAAUCGUACGUUUGCACUUUUAGUGCAAUUAUCACUUUUUACUGAACUUAUUUUGGCAGUGGAGUAGAUUAUAAGUAUAAAAUUGCAACCUAAUUCUAUUUUGUGCUUAGUGAAUGUAAAUAUAAUAUAAAUUAAAAUCCAUGUAUAAAUAAUCACAAGGGAUAAUUUAACAUUAAUUUUCGUCUGAAAUGUGAAAUUGAAUAAAUGUUGUUAAGUUUCUUUUUGAGAAGUGGCAGAAUGGGCUAAACUUAAUUAUACUGUAUUGUUUAAAAAA